GAGACUGAGACCGAGCUGGAGGCAAAGACGAGGCUGAGCCAACCGGCGCAGGUAAGGAGGACAAGACGAGCUGCUAGGGAGGCCUGGACACAGCAAGGGAGGGUUUGGGGACUGAACCCAGAUCUUGGUGUUCGGAGAGAUCCCAUCACGUGUCAGGAGCGAACUGAAACUGGCGCGGGGAUUCUCGUCUUAAAACAUUGGGAAAAGGGUAGGAAGCCAGUUUCUGGGGGUGAUUACCGGGCUUCGGUCAUUAGGCGGGUUUAGGUGUCCGGAUUUAUUGCUUGCCCGUGGCGUGGUCUCAGGUGGAAAACCAUGCUGCGGUAUCAGGUUGGGGAGCAACCCAAGUGAACUACGGGGCAGAGAAGGUAUCGUUCAAGUCAUGUAUUUACUCUGAAUGGAGAGAAGAAAAGAACAGAGGCUGUGUCAGGCGAAAACUCUCCGCGGAAGCCAGAAAGGCAGCCCCAGUUUCUUAAUGGGCGGGGGUGGGGGAGAUGACUUUUUCUGUUGUCUCUGAGACAGGUAAUACGGGAGAGAGGGAGAAGAGGUAUUCUAUUGUACAGUAUACCCCCAGUAUCCAUUUUCUACUCUUUAGACUCCAAUUUCAAAUUAUCUCGCUUUGCUCUUCAGUUGCAGGUUCCGAUCUUUGGGUGCUCCGGGAGCCGCUUUCCAGCCCUUGCUUCUGGACCUAUGGAUUCUCCAUCUAGCGUUUCUUCCUAUUCCUCCUACUCUCUCUCUUCCUCUUUUUCCACCUCCCCAGCAAACAGUGAUUUUGGCUUCCCCUCCAAAAGUGAGAGGGAGGACAAAGGGCCCAAGCCAAAUACUUUUGGGCAGAGGGGAGGUUCACGGCCCAGCCCAGGUCCUAUUCGCAGCAGGCAUCGAUCCAAGCUUUCCAGUAACCAACAUACAGCAUCUCACCCGGAACCGCGGGGCUUGGCUUCUUCUAUGGCAGGAUCUGGGGUCAAAAGAUCAAGAGAUGGUGAAUUGGAAACCAGUCAGAACAUUCAAGGUUGUACCACAGAAGGAGAUCUGCUGUUUGCUCAAAAGUGUAAAGAACUCCAAGGAUAUAUAACCCCUCUCACAGACCUACUAAAUAGACUGAAGAUGGGUCGUUUUGAAAGAGGAUUGAGCAGUUUCCAGCAAAGUGUGGCAAUGGACAGGAUCCAGCGUAUUGUAGGUGUUUUGCAGAAGCCAUAUAUGGGGGAACGUUAUCUGGGAACCUUGCUACAGGUAGAAGGGAUGUUAAAGACUUGGUUUCCUCAUAUAGCUGCCCAGAAAUCAUUGCUGGGUCACAGCAGGCAUCAGCUGACCAAGUUUGCUGAUGGGAAAUUGAACACUAUCUGCCUCAAAUAUCAAUCUUUAUUCUCUGAGCUACAGAAAAGAAGAAAGGAGAUGGGAAUGUUUGUGAACAAGAGUGCCACCAAUUUCUUCGUCCUUUCUCCGUCAUCCUUUGGGUCUUGCAGAGUGGAAACUUAAAUUCAAGGUCAUGGCAAAACAUCUCAAGUUCAUUGCUAGGACCGUGAUGGUACAAGAAGGGAACGUGGAAGGUGCAUACAGAACUCUAACCAGACGGAGCCUCAAG
Molecule: RNA transcript, 1579 nt
Organism: Otolemur garnettii (small-eared galago)
Lineage: Eukaryota; Metazoa; Chordata; Mammalia; Primates; Galagidae
Gene: CIART
Gene name: circadian associated repressor of transcription
Exons: 7
Source: RefSeq, a predicted model, not a curated record